RNAcentral lists this ribosomal RNA (565 nucleotides) under Gloeophyllum sepiarium. RNAcentral describes it as "eukaryotic LSU rRNA". The stretch from base 164 to 317 matches the Rfam family "5.8S ribosomal RNA". The record is from RNAcentral. Lineage: Eukaryota; Fungi; Basidiomycota; Agaricomycetes; Gloeophyllales; Gloeophyllaceae.
GUAGCUGGCCGCAAGGCAUGUGCACGCUCUCUACUCAAUCCAACCUUACACCUGUGCACCUAUUGUAGGUCGAGUGGCUGGACUUGUUCUGGUCGCUCUUCCUAUGUUUUAUACAUACACUUGUAGUCUCAGAAUGUAAUCAGCGUAUAACGCAUUAUAAAACAACUUUCAACAACGGAUCUCUUGGCUCUCGCAUCGAUGAAGAACGCAGCGAAAUGCGAUAAGUAAUGUGAAUUGCAGAAUUCAGUGAAUCAUCGAAUCUUUGAACGCACCUUGCGCUCCUUGGUAUUCCGAGGAGCAUGCCUGUUUGAGUGUCAUGAAUAUCUCAACUCACCCGGUUUUUAUUAACUGUGGUGGGCUUGGACUUGGAGGUAUGCUGGCUGACUAGUCGGCUCCUCUCUAAAUGCAUUAGCUGGACCUGUUAUGGAUCAGUACUCGGUGUGAUAAUUGUCUACGCCGUGUCUGUGAAGUGCUUGAAUGGACUAGCUUCUAACCGUCUUCGGACAACUAUUGACAUUUUGACCUCAAAUCAGGUAGGAUUACCCGCUGAACUUAAGCAUAUCAA